GAUGAACGCUGGCGGCGUGCUUAACACAUGCAAGUCGAACGGAAAGGCCCAAGCUUGCUUGGGUACUCGAGUGGCGAACGGGUGAGUAACACGUGGGUGAUCUGCCCUGCACUUCGGGAUAAGCCUGGGAAACUGGGUCUAAUACUGGAUAGGACCACUUCUUGGAUGUUGUGGUGGAAAGUUUUUUCGGUGUGGGAUGAGCUCGCGGCCUAUCAGCUUGUUGGUGGGGUAAUGGCCUACCAAGGCGUCGACGGGUAGCCGGCCUGAGAGGGUGUACGGCCACAUUGGGACUGAGAUACGGCUCAGACUCCUACGGGAGGCAGCAGUGGGGAAUAUUGCACAAUGGGCGCAAGCCUGAUGCAGCGACGCCGCGUGGGGGAUGACGGCCUUCGGGUUGUAAACUCCUUUCGCUAGGGACGAAGCGUUUUGUGACGGUACCUGGAGAAGAAGCACCGGCUAACUACGUG
Molecule: ribosomal RNA, 467 nt
Filed under: uncultured bacterium
Lineage: Bacteria
Description: partial 16S ribosomal RNA
Rfam family: Bacterial small subunit ribosomal RNA
Source: RNAcentral